RNAcentral lists this ribosomal RNA (418 nucleotides) under uncultured bacterium. Its description in RNAcentral is "bacterial SSU rRNA". It matches the Rfam family "Bacterial small subunit ribosomal RNA", at positions 507 to 921 of the family's 1533-position model. The record is from RNAcentral.
GCCAUCGGCCGAGGAUAAUACGGAGGAUGCGAGCUUUAUCCGCAUUGAUUGGGUUUGAAGGGUGCGUAGGUGAACAAAUAAGUCGUGGGAGAAAUUCUGCAGCUUAAUGGUAGACUUGGCAUUGAAACUGUUGGACUGGAGUAUAGGCAAGGGAAGGCCGAAUGUGUAUAUGUGACGCUUCAAAUGCUUAAAUAUUACACACCAACGGCGAUUGCGACUGACUCUUGCUGGACUAAUACUGACGCUCAGGCACGAGAGCAUGAAGAUCGAUCAGGAUUACAUGCCGUGCUCGCCCACAACGUAGACUACGAUCCACUCGCUUUUCCCAAUAUACAGUAACCGGCUAAGCAAAAGACUUUAAUGGAUCGCCCGGGGCAUACCGGCGUAAAGCUUAAAAUCAAAGGAAUUGACCCGGGCC